GCCAUACUGUGGGGAUAAGAUCAA
RNAcentral lists this non-coding RNA (24 nucleotides) under Cricetulus griseus (Chinese hamster). The record is from RNAcentral. Lineage: Eukaryota; Metazoa; Chordata; Mammalia; Rodentia; Cricetidae.